This is a long non-coding RNA of Lutzomyia longipalpis, 2350 nucleotides long. RefSeq lists it as uncharacterized. The transcript is spliced from 2 exons. NCBI's taxonomy places the organism in Eukaryota, Metazoa, Arthropoda, Insecta, Diptera, Psychodidae. The record is from RefSeq and is a predicted model, not a curated record.
UAUGUGUGUCUAGGGUUGGACAGCUCUGGGUGAAAGAGUGAGAUGAGUCGUUAGCUCUAUGCCGCUCAUCAGGCACUCAUAGGUUCAGUAGCCCACUGUUGCUCGUCCGAUUCAGUUCGGGACCCGUUAGCUCUUCAAAUAAGGGUAGUUAUUAGCCCAUGUAGGAAUAUCGUCCUACAUAUCAGAAGUGGGAUAGGGUCCGCGUGUGCCACUGCGUGUGGAAAACCGUGAAAAUCACGGCGCGAGUGAAAAGAAAAGUGAAAAUUUCGGAGACGACGACGCAAAAGGCAGCGAGACAACAUGGCCGCCACCGUGUGGAGAAAAAUGCGGCGUAGAAGCAGCGAAAUGCGACAAGAUAGGACUGCGAAGACCAUCGAGAAGCGCCCCAGCAACUGUGUGGUGGAGCACCCGGCGAUGGAAGUAGCGCAAGUACCCCUGAGUGCCCCAGGAAAGGGAAAUAAAAAGAGAAAAAUUGAAAGGGGAAUAUGUUUCUUUGAAUUGAAAAAAGUCAUGAUAAAUUUCUGAGAAAUUUUUGGCAAUUCCAGAAAUUUCUAUGUGUUAACCCUUUUGUGUAUGCUAUGUGUGAAUGGUGGCCACCCGCACAAAAUAAUUGUCUUGUCUUGUCUUGCAAUAACAUGUCGUAACAGGAAUUCCUUUUCAGGUUAUUCAUGAUAAUUUUUGAAAAUAUUUCAUGUGAAACUGCAUAGGAAAAUUCAUAAGAAAAAAAUGAAAAAUGUUUUAAAAGUGUUUCAUAUGUUCGUGAAAUUAGCCGAGUUUCAUGAAACAAGAUUCGGCGAGAUUGAUGAAACAUGAAAUGUUUUUGCUGGAAUUUGACCAUAUCGUGACAUUUCGGUCGUGCCGAUUGAAUACUCGGGUAUUGCGUCAUAUUAAAUGUCAUUUUAUAUGCGUGUUUGAUUGUUUUGAAUAUUCAAGGUAUUUUGUGAGGAAAUGCAAGAAAAAUUCCAUUAAAUAUCAUAAAGAAAUUGCUGCAGAGAAACACAAGUCGAGAAGGCAAAACAACACGGUUGCCAUGCCCAUGGGAACAAAGAAGCUAAGCGCAAUAAUACAGCGAUUUGAUUCAGAUUGACCGACUGCAUUGACACUGAAGAUUGGCUUGUAGAAGUUGAAAAGGCGCGUUGAUGUAUCAUUGGGAAGAGAGAGUGAUAAUUCUUUAUGCAUCUAUGUGAUUGAGGAGACCAGCAAAAAAAAAUGGUUCAUUGAGCCAAAGCGAGGCUGGAUUCGUGGCAAAAAUUUCGCGAUGAAUUGUUGCAAUUCUUUCCUACCGUUGUGGAUUUAAGGGCAUCAUUGUUGACACAAACUUUGAAUCUCUCACGCAACUUCUCCGCGUGCUAAUUGAUGCGGAACAAAACAUUGAAACAUAGACGAUUCCAAGCAAGACAGGCGCUAUUCCAAGCGCAACUCUGGGUAAAAUUCAGGGCGAUACCAUCCGUACCGCCAUGGCAAGAAGAAUGACAUUGGGAAGCACACAAGGAAGCCAAAAAGGAGAAUGAGUAGAAAAGCACCGAAGAUCGACGAAGCUCUGAGAACUUUGUUACAGAUGCAAGAAGACCGGACAUUUAAUUGCUCAGUGCCCAAAAAUCAGCGAAUCUUAAGUAAAUAAUUCCAAUGAAUUCCGAGGAGAGAUGAAGAUGAUUAAAUUAAAUUUCUUGGAGAUACGAAACAAAGUAGAUGAAAUCAAUAAAAGAAUCUUAAGCCUACUGAGUGUAGAUCAAUGUGAGAUAGAAUAAAGAAAUUACAGAAAAGUAUUAUUAUUUAUUCGAGGUUUAAUUAGAUGUUUUUUCAAAACAAAUUUAAAAAGAUAACCUUAAGUUUACAGGAAAAAAGUGAAAUACAGAUCGCAAGGUAAGCCUGCUAAAUAGAUUGGAGAAUAAUUUCUUUGUCAUUUUAGAGAAUGGCCAUACAACGAGGAAGCAACAAAGAAAUGUGAAGGAUUUAAAAAAUAUCAAAUAUUAUAUGCUCCGCUCAGACACAAGCUAGAAGUAAUGAAGGAAGGGAAUCUCAAGCGUAGGACAGGAAUUGAGGACUGGAUAGAUAUUAAGGAAGGCUAUGUGCCAAAGUCAAGCAAUGGCUGUGUGCCGCUUGAAAGCUGAGUGCGCUAAACCAAGGAUUCAAUAUCAAGUAGAUGCAAUGAAGAAAAGCAACCUGAAGUGUAUAAAAGGAAUUAAGAACUGGAUAGAAGGAAGAAAAUCACUGGCCAAGUCGAGAGCCGAAGCAAGAAGACUUCGUCUUCACCUGCUGAGCCCCAGGCUUAGUUGCUUCACAGAGUUCAUAGUACUAUGUGUACUCGAUCAUGGAAAAAGGCAAAAGAUUAAAGAACACAAGAUGACAA